UGGGGAAUAUUGCACAAUGGGCGCAAGCCUGAUGCAGCGACGCCGCGUGAGGGAUGGAGGCCUUCGGGUUGUAAACCUCUUUCGCCAGUGAAGCAGGCCAUCUUCUUUGUGGGGUGGUUGACGGUAGCUGGAUAAGAAGCGCCGGCUAACUACGUGCCAGCAGCCGCGGUAUUACGUAGGGCGCGAGCGUUGUCCGGAAUUAUUGGGCGUAAAGAGCUCGUAGGCGGCUGGUCGCGUCUGUCGUGAAAUCCCCUGGCUUAACUGGGGGCUUGCGGUGGGUACGGGCCGGCUUGAGUGCGGUAGGGGAGACUGGAAUUCCUGGUGUAGCGGUGGAAUGCGCAGAUAUCAGGAGGAACACCGGUGGCGAAGGCGGGUCUCUGGGCCGUUACUGACGCUGAGGAGCGAAAGCGUGGGGAGCGAACAGG
Molecule: ribosomal RNA, 425 nt
Filed under: bacterium
Lineage: Bacteria
Description: partial 16S ribosomal RNA
Rfam family: Bacterial small subunit ribosomal RNA
Source: RNAcentral